GACGAACGCUGGCGGCGUGCUUAACACAUGCAAGUCGAACGAAGAGCGAUGGAAGCUUGCUUCUAUCAAUCUUAGUGGCGAACGGGUGAGUAACGCGUAAUCAACCUGCCCUUCAGAGGGGGACAACAGUUGGAAACGACUGCUAAUACCGCAUACGAUCUAAUCUCGGCAUCGAGGAUAGAUGAAAGGUGGCCUCUACAUGUAAGCUAUCACUGAAGGAGGGGAUUGCGUCUGAUUAGCUAGUUGGAGGGGUAACGGCCCACCAAGGCGAUGAUCAGUAGCCGGUCUGGAGGGAUGAACGGCCACAAUGGGACUGAGAAACGGCCCAGACUCCUACGGGAGGCAGCAGUGGGGAAUCUUCCGCAAUGGACGAAAGUCUGACGGAGCAACGCCGCGUGAGCGAUGACGGCCUUCGGGUUGUAAAGCUCUGUUAAUCGGGACGAAAGGCCUUCUUGCGAAUAGUGAGAAGGAUUGACGGUACCGGAAUAGAAAGCCACGGCUAACUACGUG
RNAcentral lists this ribosomal RNA (510 nucleotides) under uncultured bacterium. Its description in RNAcentral is "partial 16S ribosomal RNA". It matches the Rfam family "Bacterial small subunit ribosomal RNA", at positions 28 to 507 of the family's 1533-position model. The record is from RNAcentral.